CUUCUAUAAAAUUAUAGAACCUUUUAUGCUAAAACUAGUAACAAGAGGUAACCCCCUCUCUACAAUGUAAGUAUACGCCAACAAGAACCCACCAUUGGCAAUCAACAGAUUUAAGUAAAAGUGGCAACUUCCACCCAGAAAACCCCACCCCCACUCAACUGUUAACCUAAUACCAGAACAUUUCAAGAAAGAUUAAAAGAAAGAGAAGGAACUCGGCAAACAUUAGCCCCGCCUGUUUACCAAAAACACCGCCUCUUGUCCCUAUAAGAGGUCUAGCCUGCCCAGUGACUUCUGUUCAACGGCCGCGGUAUCCUAACCGUGCAAAGGUAGCGUAAUCACUUGUCCCCUAAAUAGAGACUAGUAUGAAUGGCAUCACGAGGACUAAGCUGUCUCCUCUCCCUAAUCAGUGAACCUAAUAACCCCGUGAAGAAGCGGGGAUUUUUAUAUAAGACGAGAAGACCCUGUGGAGCUUAAAUCAUUAUAACACCUGCCGCCUCACUCUAUCUACCCAGGUUUUUCCCCCCGUGGCACCAUGAUUAUAUGUUUUUGGUUGGGGUGACCGCGGAGAAAAACCUAUCCUCCACAAUGAAGGGGACUUCCCUAAACAGUAAGCUACAACUUUAUGUAUCAGCAAACUGACAUCCAUUGACCCAAUAUAUUUGAUUAACGAACCAAGUUACCCCAGGGAUAACAGCGCAAUCCACUUCGAGAGCCCCUAUCGACAAGUGGGCUUACGACCUCGAUGUUGGAUCGUGGUAUCCUAGUGGUGCAGCCGCUACU
This 780-nucleotide ribosomal RNA is filed under the name Pristimantis sp. DHMECN 15824. RNAcentral describes it as "partial large subunit ribosomal RNA". It matches the Rfam family "Bacterial large subunit ribosomal RNA", at positions 1485 to 2566 of the family's 2925-position model. Lineage: Eukaryota; Metazoa; Chordata; Amphibia; Anura; Strabomantidae. The record is from RNAcentral.